UACGGAGGAUGCGAGCGUUAUCCGGAUUUAUUGGGUUUAAAGGGUGCGUAGGCGGCUUUUUAAGUCAGCGGUGAAAUUUUGCAGCUUAACUGUAACAGUGCCGUUGAUACUGGGGAGCUAGGAUUUGGUUGCUGUGGGUGGAAUGUGUGGUGUAGCGGUGAAAUGCGUAGAUAUCGGGAGGAACACCAGUGGUGAAGACGGCUUUCUGGUCUGUUGCUGACGCUGAGGAGCGAAAGCCAGGGGAGCGAACCGGAUUAGAUACCCCCGUAGUCCCU
This 275-nucleotide ribosomal RNA is filed under the name uncultured prokaryote. RNAcentral describes it as "partial 16S ribosomal RNA". It matches the Rfam family "Bacterial small subunit ribosomal RNA", at positions 524 to 798 of the family's 1533-position model. The record is from RNAcentral.